UCAUCUUCGGGGGUAGAGCACUGUUUCGGCUAGGGGGUCAUCCCGACUUACCAACCCGAUGCAAACUACGAAUACCGAAGAAUGUUAUCACGGGAGACACACGGCGGGUGCUAACGUCCGUCGUGAAGAGGGAAACAACCCAGACCGCCAGCUAAGGUCCCAAAGUCAUGGUUAAGUGGGAAACGAUGUGGGAAGGCACAGACAGCCAGGAUGUUGGCUUAGAAGCAGCCAUCAUUUAAAGAAAGCGUAAUAGCUCACUGGUCGAGUCGGCCUGCGCGGAAGAUGUAACGGGGCUAAACCAUGCACCGAAGCUGCGGCAGCGACACUAUGUGUUGUUGGGUAGGGGAGCGUUCUGUAAGCCUGCGAAGGUGACCUGUGAGGGUUGCUGGAGGUAUCAGAAGUGCGAAUGCUGACAUAAGUAACGAUAAAGCGGGUGAAAAGCCCGCUCGCCGGAAGACCAAGGGUUCCUGUCCAACGUUAAUCGGGGCAGGGUGAGUCGACCCCUAAGGCGAGGCCGAAAGGCGUAGUCGAUGGGAAACAGGUUAAUAUUCCUGUACUUGGUGUUACUGCGAAGGGGGGACGGAGAAGGCUAUGUUAGCCGGGCGACGGUUGUCCCGGUUUAAGCAUGUAGGCUG
This 635-nucleotide ribosomal RNA is filed under the name Klebsiella pneumoniae. RNAcentral's name for it is "bacterial LSU rRNA". It matches the Rfam family "Bacterial large subunit ribosomal RNA", at positions 890 to 1527 of the family's 2925-position model. Lineage: Bacteria; Pseudomonadati; Pseudomonadota; Gammaproteobacteria; Enterobacterales; Enterobacteriaceae. The record is from RNAcentral. RNAcentral also lists the same sequence under 3 other names.